GGACUAUAGCUCAGUGGUAGAGCACUUGCCUAGCAUGUGUGAGGCACUGGGUUCAAUCCUCAGCACCA
Molecule: transfer RNA, 68 nt
Filed under: Marmota monax (woodchuck)
Lineage: Eukaryota; Metazoa; Chordata; Mammalia; Rodentia; Sciuridae
Description: tRNA.Ala
Source: RNAcentral